This 253-nucleotide ribosomal RNA is filed under the name uncultured bacterium. Its description in RNAcentral is "partial 16S ribosomal RNA". It matches the Rfam family "Bacterial small subunit ribosomal RNA", at positions 524 to 776 of the family's 1533-position model. The record is from RNAcentral.
UACGUAGGGGGCAAGCGUUGUCCGGAUUUAUUGGGCGUAAAGAGCGUGUAGGCGGCUUCACAGGUCCGCUGUGAAAACUCGAGGCUCAACCUCGAGAUGUCGGCGGAAACCGUGUGGCUAGAGUCCGGAAGAGGAGAGUGGAAUUCCCGGUGUAGCGGUGAAAUGCGCAGAUAUCGGGAAGAACACCCGUGGCGAAGGCGGCUCUCUGGGACGGUACUGACGCUGAGACGCGAAAGCGUGGGGAGCGAACAGG